CCUACGGGAGGCAGCAGUGGGGAAUAUUGCACAAUGGGGGAAACCCUGAUGCAGCGACGCCGCGUGAGUGAAGAAGUAAUUCGUUACGUAAAGCUCUAUCAGCAGGGAAGAAAUACUGACCUUACGGUCAGCAGACGGUACCUGAGUAAGAAGCCCCGGCUAACUACGUGCCAGCAGCCGCGGUAAUACGUAGGGGGCAAGCGUUAUCCGGAUUUACUGGGUGUUAAGGGAGCGCAGACGGCUGUGCAAGUCUGGAGUGAAAGGCGGGGGCCCAACCCCCGGACUGCUCUGGAAACUGUAAGGCUGGAGUGCAGGAGAGGUAAGCGGAAUGCCUGGUGUAGCGGUGAAAUGCAUAGAUAUUAGGAGGAACACCAGUGGCGAAGGCGGCUUACUGGACUGCAACUGACGUUGAGGCUCGAAAGCGUGGGGAGCGAACAGGAUUAGAUACCCGGGUAGUC
Molecule: ribosomal RNA, 458 nt
Filed under: uncultured bacterium
Lineage: Bacteria
Description: partial 16S ribosomal RNA
Rfam family: Bacterial small subunit ribosomal RNA
Source: RNAcentral